Molecule: ribosomal RNA, 209 nt
Filed under: uncultured bacterium
Lineage: Bacteria
Description: partial 16S ribosomal RNA
Rfam family: Bacterial small subunit ribosomal RNA
Source: RNAcentral
UACGGAGGGGGCUAGCGUUGUUCGGAAUUACUGGGCGUAAAGCGCACGUAGGCGGUUAUUCAAGUCAGAGGUGAAAGCCUGGAGCUCAACUCCAGAACUGCCUUUGAAACUAGAUAGCUAGAAUCAUGGAGAGGCGGGUGGAAUUCCGAGUGUAGAGGUGAAAUUCGUAGAUAUUCGGAAGAACACCAGUGGCGAAGGCGGCCCGCUGG